UAGGGAAUCUUCGUCAAUGGGGGGAACCCUGACCGAGCAACGCCGCGUGAGUGAAGAAGGUUUUCGGAUCGUAAAGCUCUGUUGUUAAGGAAGAACGAGUGUGAGAAUGGAAAGUUCAUACUGUGACGGUACUUAACCAGAAAGGGACGGCUAACUACGUGCCAGCAGCCGCGGUAAUACGUAGGUCCCGAGCGUUGUCCGGAUUUAUUGGGCGUAAAGCGAGCGCAGGCGGUUAGAUAAGUCUGAAGUUAAAGGCAGUGGCUCAACCAUUGUAGGCUUUGGAAACUGUUUAACUUGAGUGCAGAAGGGGAGAGUGGAAUUCCAUGUGUAGCGGUGAAAUGCGUAGAUAUAUGGAGGAACACCGGUGGCGAAAGCGGCUCUCUGGUCUGUAACUGACGCUGAGGCUCGAAAGCGUGGGGAGCGAACAGG
RNAcentral lists this ribosomal RNA (429 nucleotides) under Bacteroidota bacterium. RNAcentral describes it as "Bacteroidetes bacterium partial 16S ribosomal RNA". It matches the Rfam family "Bacterial small subunit ribosomal RNA", at positions 355 to 776 of the family's 1533-position model. Lineage: Bacteria; Pseudomonadati; Bacteroidota. The record is from RNAcentral.